Podarcis lilfordi (Lilford's wall lizard) is the source of this 74-nucleotide non-coding RNA. Lineage: Eukaryota; Metazoa; Chordata; Lepidosauria; Squamata; Lacertidae. The record is from the annotation of a GenBank genome assembly.
GCCUGGAUAGCUCAGUUGGUUAGAGCAUGGUGCCGGUAACACCAAGGUUACAGGUUCAGUCCCCGUAUCGGACA